CAACUUUCAGCAAUGGAUCUCUUGGCUCUCGCAUCGAUGAAGAACACAGCGAAUCGUGAUAAGUAAUGUGAAUUGCAGAUUUUCAGUGAAUCAUCGAAUCUUUGAACGCACCUUGCGCUCCUUGGUAUUCCGAGGAGCAUGCCUGUUUGAGUGUCAACG
Molecule: ribosomal RNA, 159 nt
Filed under: Boletus semigastroideus
Lineage: Eukaryota; Fungi; Basidiomycota; Agaricomycetes; Boletales; Boletaceae
Description: 5.8S ribosomal RNA
Rfam family: 5.8S ribosomal RNA
About the family: 5.8S ribosomal RNA (5.8S rRNA) is a component of the large subunit of the eukaryotic ribosome. It is transcribed by RNA polymerase I as part of the 45S precursor that also contains 18S and 28S rRNA.
Source: RNAcentral